CGCUGGCGGCGUGCCUAAUACAUGCAAGUCGAGCGGACCAAAGGGAGCUUGCUCCUGGAGGUUAGCGGCGAACGGGUGAGUAACACGUGGGCAACCUGCCUGUAAGACUGGGAUAACAUCGAGAAAUCGGUGCUAAUACCGGAUAAUAAAAAGAACUGCAUGGUUCUUUUUUGAAAGAUGGUUUCGGCUAUCACUUACAGAUGGGCCCGCGGCGCAUUAGCUAGUUGGUGAGGUAACGGCUCACCAAGGCGACGAUGCGUAGCCGACCUGAGAGGGUGAUCGGCCACACUGGGACUGAGACACGGCCCAGACUCCUACGGGAGGCAGCAGUAGGGAAUCUUCCGCAAUGGACGAAAGUCUGACGGAGCAACGCCGCGUGAGUGAUGAAGGUUUUCGGAUCGUAAAACUCUGUUGUUAGGGAAGAACAAGUGCCGUUCGAAAGGGCGGCACCUUGACGGUACCUAACGAGAAAGCCACGGCUAACUACGUG
RNAcentral lists this ribosomal RNA (490 nucleotides) under uncultured bacterium. RNAcentral describes it as "bacterial SSU rRNA". It matches the Rfam family "Bacterial small subunit ribosomal RNA", at positions 34 to 507 of the family's 1533-position model. The record is from RNAcentral.